Molecule: long non-coding RNA, 1314 nt
Filed under: Sinocyclocheilus anshuiensis
Lineage: Eukaryota; Metazoa; Chordata; Actinopteri; Cypriniformes; Cyprinidae
Description: lncRNA (ENSSANG00000005303.1)
Source: RNAcentral
UGCAGGACUUGCGGCUCUCUAGGACCGAACUUGCCUACCCCUGGCCUAAACCAAGGGUCUUCUUCAACUGGGGGUCCGCAGCGGCACUGCACUGCAGGGAGUCCGCCAAUUAAUGUUUGAUUAAACAUUAAUCAAACAAAAUUAAAACAUGGGUUAAAAAAAACAUCACAAAGUCCGUUUUAAAUAAGCACCCUGAAACGAAAGCAUGGAAGAGCACCUUCAGUUGAUACUGUAAUGAACUAAUAUUAUUGGCGAAACAGAUUUAGCAAACGCUCCAUAGUGUUUCUGAGUUUGAGAGAUGCAGCCAAUCAGAGAUGUUUGUUGAUCUCUUGAACGCAAUGGCUACUCAGAAGUGUGUACACCUGCAACGCCGAAGUUUUGUUCAGUGUUGAGUUAUGCUCGCAACAGCGAAUCAUUAACAAAGAACGACGAGAUGCGCAGCAGAUCAUGUGCUACACAACUUCGGACCGUACGAAGUCGCCGAGAUGAGGACAUGCAGAGUCCAAUGAUGCUUCUGAGGAAGUGCGUUGCUCUUUGAAGUGAGGAAGGAAGGUUGAGAGAGCUCUCUCCAGCACAUGCCUCCCUCAUUAGUGUCCAGCAGCUGAAGACUCGAGGUCACAAACCCAAUGAACUGCCCAUUUCAUUCAGCUUUGCCGACAUGGAAAGAUGACCACUGUGACCUAAUGUUGCAGUAUGGUCUGACAGCACAUUGUACACAACAUACAAAGUAGCUUGAAUAACCCUUGAAUCUUGUGUGGAGUGCAUUAUUUUUUAUGAAAUUGCUGUAGUGUCCAACUUUUCAGCAUGCUUGUAGAUUUUAUUCAUUCCAUAAAUUGUGCAUUUUUCUAAAAAAAAAAAAAAGGGAACAGGUCUUGUGAUUUAUUUGCUGAACUGUGGGUGAUGAAAUAUUUAAUAUCCUGGGUAUUAAAAUGAUCAGUCUCGGAUCUAUUGAGAGGGUUGACAUGGUUGAAUCAGAACCACACUAAGGAACUGCUGCACAGGGAAUUAUUGCUUCAGUCUGAACAUGUCACCUCUACAAUAUUUCUAUGAUUAUAAUGUACAAUUAUCCUUUUUUUUUUCGUUCUCGGAUCUAAGUUUUCUCUAGCUUGUCAUUGUUAAAAGAUUUAAAGUACACAAUAUGAAAGAACAAUAAAGUCUAGACUCAAUGUCAUUGCUUGGAUUUGAUUUAUACACUUAAGUAUUUCACAUGCAUAAUGCAAAGUAGAGCUCUCACACUUACUGUACACAUAAUGUGACUAAGGUAAAAUGAGCAAGAUAAAAUUUCAUGUUUUAAUGCCCCAGAAAAGCUGGUUG